RNAcentral lists this ribosomal RNA (406 nucleotides) under uncultured bacterium. RNAcentral's name for it is "partial 16S ribosomal RNA". It matches the Rfam family "Bacterial small subunit ribosomal RNA", at positions 29 to 526 of the family's 1533-position model. The record is from RNAcentral.
AUUGAACGCUGGCGGCAGGCCUAACACAUGCAAGUCGAACGAGUGGCGGACGGGUGAGUAAUGUCUGGGAAACUGCCCGAUGGAGGGGGAUAACUACUGGAAACGGUAGCUAAUACCGCAUACCAUCGGAUGUGCCCAGAUGGGAUUAGCGAGUGGGUGGGGUAAAGGCUCCCCUAGGCGACGAGCCCUAGCUGGUCUGAGAGGAUGACCAGCCACACUGGAACUGAGACAGGGGCCAGAAUCCGACGGGAGGCAGCAGUGGGGAAUAUUGCACAAGGGGGGCAAGCCUGAUGCAGCCAUGCCGCGUGUAUGAAGAAGGCCGUCGGGUUGUAAAGUCCUUUCAGCGGGGAGGCGUUACCCGCAGAAGAAGCACCGGCUAACUCCGUGCCAGCAGCCGCGGUAAUUC